AGAAGUGCUGUUGUCACAGCCACAAUUAUGAUAACAAGAAAUAUCAAAUCAGCUUGUAGUUGACUCCCUCAUGGGAGUCAUGGCCAGAGACCCCGGGGCCGUCCUAGGACCCACUGGAGGGAUUAUAUCUCCAAGUUGGCCUGGGAGCGGCUUGGGGUCCCCGGGAAUGAACGAUGAAUUAACGAUAAUGAUGAUGAAAAUAAAAUAUGGCAUGUGAAAAAGAUUGGGAACCCUUUCAGUUGCUCCAUUAUUGUUAUUUUUUGGUCAUAUUUAUGUAAUUUCACUCAUUAGGCAUUACUCCAACUCAGAUGUGAAGAAUUCCAGAGCACAAUACCAUGAGCUGUUAUAUCACACUGUUGUAAAGUAAAUGUGUCCCACAGUCUAAAAAUCAAUGUGUAACAUUAUGAAUUGUUAUUAUCGAAACAUCCUGUCCAGGGUGUAUCCUGCCUUCCGCCCGAAGACUGCUGGGAUAGGCUGCAGCACCCCCCCGCCACCCUGACGGAGAAGCGGCUUAGAAAAUGGAUGGAUAGAUGGAUGGAUGGAUUGUCGAAACACGUAUUUUCUGCUGUACAUUGUUUACCUGCCUACCACUGUUAGUUAUGUAAGGACCACUGACCAAUCAAAGUCCUGGUGUGGAGUCCUGGCAUAACUGGAGGAGGAGCCUAAGCCUUAAAAGUAGGCAUUCAAACUGGCUGAAGACUAUAUGUUGUUGCAGCUACAAAAAAUGUGUCAGGCUAUAGGCUGAAGAGCAGCAGCUGGAGCUGCAGAGAGAAAGAGAUACGUGGAGGAAGCUGCAAAAAGAAGUGGACAGCAGACCUGAUGGAUGUUCUCAGUGCAGGCGUUAUCAAUGGAGUAACGCUUUAGUGACUGAGGCGGAUUCAAAGAAAUUUAUUUCAUUUAGAAAGAACGUUCACUAAGAAUAAAUGACUAAAAAAGUCAGUCAGUUCAGUCACAGUUAUUUGCAUACUCAAAUCCAACUCUACUUUGCACUCUGUCCUAGUAAGCUGAUGCACAAACUAGUGUGCUGGAAAAUGUUGUCACCACCCCUAAUCCUAGAGAUGUACUCUCCUGCCAGCU
Long non-coding RNA from Pygocentrus nattereri (red-bellied piranha), 1077 nucleotides. RefSeq lists it as uncharacterized. Lineage: Eukaryota; Metazoa; Chordata; Actinopteri; Characiformes; Serrasalmidae. The transcript is spliced from 3 exons. The record is from RefSeq and is a predicted model, not a curated record.